This 78-nucleotide transfer RNA is filed under the name Microlunatus endophyticus. RNAcentral describes it as "tRNA-Phe". It matches the Rfam family "tRNA". From Rfam's summary of the family: Transfer RNA (tRNA) molecules are approximately 80 nucleotides in length. The record is from RNAcentral. Lineage: Bacteria; Bacillati; Actinomycetota; Actinomycetes; Propionibacteriales; Propionibacteriaceae.
UGGCCAGGUAGCUCAGCUGGUAGCAGCGUUCGCCUGAAAAGUGAAAGGUCGGCGGUUCGAGCCCGCCCCUGGCCACCC